Long non-coding RNA from Oncorhynchus kisutch (coho salmon), 899 nucleotides. RefSeq lists it as uncharacterized. The transcript has 3 exons. The record is from RefSeq and is a predicted model, not a curated record. Lineage: Eukaryota; Metazoa; Chordata; Actinopteri; Salmoniformes; Salmonidae.
CACGUAGUUGGAGCUAGGGAGCUGAGCACCACAGUUAUUGCAAUCACGUUGAACGCGCCACUGUCUGUGGCAGUGGCAUCGUCCGGACUGUGUGUGAGAGAGGAAGACAUCAAACGACAGUAGUGGUAAGGGAAGGUUUAUAAGAUGUUACAGCACGGCUUUCUCAACACUUCAACUGUGGCAGUGCCUUUACAAUGUGUUGGAUUCUUUUUUGGAGCAAUGGCUAUGUGAUUGCGGGUUCCUUUUGAGUGCGUUCCAGAGAGGAAAAGAUUUUAUAUGGCGGUUGGAAACCAACUUUAGGAUGCAUUACUGCCACCAACUGGACUGGAGUGUGAAAACUUGUUCAUCUUUGUAACACCCAAGUGUGUAUGUGUACAUUUAUUUUGCAAUGGCUCCCUCACUAAACGUGGCCGGUUUGGUCAGCAUGUUAGUCCAGCGAUGGACAGAGGCGUAUGAUAAAACCAACGGUACCAAAGCAAAGAUAUUUGUCAGUUUAAAGCCACUCAAUUAUGUGUGGUGAAAUUGCAAGCUUGUUUAAGGUCUUCAUCUUGCUCCUGACCAAUGUCCAAGGGGAGGAACAAUUGACUGUCAGGACUAGUGAGACAAUGCUGCAUCUUCGUCCCCUCUGGAGGCCUUUAUCCUAUGGAGGACACUAUGUCUACAAAUUGAGAUGUCUAUGAAGUUGAAUCAAAUUAUAAUUUUCUUUAACAAUUUUAGACAAUAUUUUUUCGAAAUAUAUAUAUUAGGCUGCAUUGUAUCUUUAAAGGUAUUUCUUCCCAAACAGAUCGUUGUUGUUUUAUUCCUUUGCUAACGUUGGCCUAUAAGGUUGUGUAUUGACGCUGCUGUGCACACCUGUUUAUUAUUCGGGCUGAGCUUGAACAACAAGACAUGAUUGAGGA